Molecule: ribosomal RNA, 95 nt
Filed under: Bacillus licheniformis
Lineage: Bacteria; Bacillati; Bacillota; Bacilli; Caryophanales; Bacillaceae
Description: partial 23S ribosomal RNA
Rfam family: Bacterial large subunit ribosomal RNA
Source: RNAcentral
AGAUCCCUGAAAGAUGAUCAGGUUGAUAGGUCUGAGGUGGAAGUGUGGCGACACAUGGAGCUGACAGAUACUAAUCGAUCGAGGACUUAACCUAA